UGAGGAAUAUUGGUCAAUGGGCGCGAGCCUGAACCAGCCAAGUCGCGUGAAGGAUGACGGUCCUAUGGAUUGUAAACUUCUUUUAUCAGGGAAUAAAGUUUGGUACGUGUACUAUUUUGUAUGUACCUGAUGAAUAAGCAUCGGCUAACUCCGUGCCAGCAGCCGCGGUAAUACGGAGGAUGCGAGCGUUAUCCGGAUUUAUUGGGUUUAAAGGGUGCGUAGGCGGGUUUUUAAGUCAGUGGUGAAAGUUUGCAGCUCAACUGUAAAAGUGCCAUUGAAACUGAAGAUCUUGAGUGCAAAUGAGGUAGGCGGAAUGUGUUGUGUAGCGGUGAAAUGCAUAGAUAUAACACAGAACUCCGAUUGCGAAGGCAGCUUACUGGGAUGCAACUGACGCUGAUGCACGAAAGCGUGGGUAUCAAACA
This 422-nucleotide ribosomal RNA is filed under the name uncultured prokaryote. RNAcentral's name for it is "bacterial SSU rRNA". It matches the Rfam family "Bacterial small subunit ribosomal RNA", at positions 355 to 774 of the family's 1533-position model. The record is from RNAcentral.